CCUGUGUGAUGAAACAGAGGGUGCCCUGCAGCUGUCCCUGGUGAAACCACACUACUGCUCUGAGAGCUGACAGUACAGUCUAUGUCUGGAAACAGUACAGGUGCACUAACAGUCUCUCUCACGAAGACUGAAGGCACGGGGAGCUCCCUGCUGGGGGCGGGACAAAGCCUCGGCAUGCCCCUGAUCGAGCAGACUGCCGGUGCUCCCCCGAGGCAACUGAAAGGCCAAGACUGGCAGCAGUGGCUCACGGGCCAGAGGGACGUCCACAGAGUACUGCUCUGGACAGGGAGUAUCAAACUGACCCUCGAGCAGCCUGCACAUGUGUGGCCGGAAGUUGGGCUUGGUCUGCUCUUUCCAAGCCUGCUGCUGCUGCCCCAGCAUGUGAGUGACAGGAGGUAGGAGGGGCAUGUGCACAGGGGGCGUGGUCACCAACAACGGAGAGGCGGCUGUGACCCUGGUCACAGUGUGUGGAGACUCCAGGCAAUUAACAGGGGAGCUCCCCCCAUUUGCCCUCUCUGCCACUGUGGGGCAAUUAGCUCCUGCUCUUCUUGCCACCCCUAGGGAUACUCCUGCCCCCGAACAUGGCUUCUUUCUGUGCUUGGUCUUCAUCUCCUCCCCCGCCGUUCUGCUGUUGCCGACCCGCCUGCCCUUCUUGCCCUGCGCGCCGCCACCAGAGACCGCUGGGGCAGGAGCCAAGCCGCGUCCCAAGGGCCGGUCGGCACCUGGGGCCAGGUUGUAGUGGUCAAGCAGCUGCACGAUGUCGUGGUGCAUGCGCUCACAAGCCACGUCGCGGGGAAGCUGAUCCAGGUGGUCCGUGAUGUCCCUGCUGCAGCAGUGGUCCAACAGCACACGGGCCGCAUCGAAGCUGCCCUCCCGAGCCGCCAGGAACAAGGGGGUCUCCUCCUAAUGGGAGAACAAAAGACUUCGGUAACAGAUUCUUAAUAUAACCCCGGUUUCCCACAAACCCUGUGGAUUUUGUGAGACACCAGCUGGUUCCCAAACUCGUGAUAGGAUUAUCUCAUGGAAAGGAUUAUCAUCCAUAAACAAUUUGCUCAUCAAAAGUAGAUAAGUGCUGUAUGACUGUGAAAUAGCGACGGAGGAAUCCCAUGAUGUGCGGUUUUCACAUAGUGCCUCAUUAUCAAAAGCUUUCUUCCAUUCGUCAUUUGAAAAACAUUUAUGUUCUAGAAGCCUGUUCACUGUUUGGCGUGUCAAAAAUGUAGGGACUGCCCGUUACAAGAACCAGGUGUUGAGGUUCAUCGAAGGGUUAUGGAAAAGCAGAAUUGACGUCAGAGAGGAUUAAAUACUGUAAAGAAGAACUGAAAACAUACUCCUGCAUUAUCUUGCUGUAAGUAGUCUUAUUUUUCUUUGAAUGCUAACUGCAACAAGUUUCAAGUUUCAUUCAAGUUUCAUUGUCAUAUACAGAUAACAAUGUAGCAUCAUUGCCCGCAAUGAAAUUCUUAGUCUCAUGUUCCCCCAGCUUUACAUGUGCUCACAAGCAUAUAGACAUAUAACAUCUAAACAUAUAGAAAAGUAUACAGACAAAAAAAAAAACAUUAUAACAAAAAUGGUGCAAAAUAAUGCAGUGAGAUAUUUUGAAUGGAUGGAUGCAAAAUUGUGCAGUGAGAAUUUACAGUGAUAUUGUUUAAAGUGACAUUGUUUAAAGUGACAUUGUGAAGAGACCUGCAGUUGUGGUGAGUGUAUAUCGGUGUGUACAGAAUGUCAGAAGCCUGAUGGCUUGUGGGUAGAAAACUACUGUUCUCUAGAGACCGGCUUGAGAAGAGUCUCCUGUCCUGUUUCAUUAUGACUGAUUCCACAGUUUUGAUUAAACCAUCAAUGAGUCUGGA
This is a long non-coding RNA of Brienomyrus brachyistius, 1844 nucleotides long. RefSeq lists it as uncharacterized. The transcript is spliced from 2 exons. Lineage: Eukaryota; Metazoa; Chordata; Actinopteri; Osteoglossiformes; Mormyridae. The record is from RefSeq and is a predicted model, not a curated record.